GUUUUGGUCCUAAACUUGCCAUUGUUUUUUAUCAAAUUUACACAUGCAAGCUUCAACACCCCGGUGAGAUUGCCCAAAACCCCCUAAUAGCUAUAAGGAGCUGGCAUCAGGAUAACAGAACAACUCUAGCCCAAGACGCCUUGCUACGCCACACCCACACGGGAACUCAGCAGUGAAUAACAUUAAAACAUGAGCGAAAGCUCGACUUAGUUAUGAUAAAUAUGGCCGGUAAAUUUCGUGCCAGCCACCGCGGUUAUACGAAAGGCCAAAAACAAUGACCCACGGCGUAAAGCGUGACUAAAGCAUGUCAAACACUUAAAGAAAUACUACCUCAAAGUUGUAAAAUACCUUGACCGUAAGACCUUCAACAGCAAAGUGACUUUAAACAUUAGACUCCUUACCUCACGAAAGCUAAGAAACAAACUAGGAUUAGAUACCCUACUAUGCUUAGCCCUUAACAUAGACAGUAGACAUACAAUACUGUCCGCCAGAGAACUACAAGUGAAAAACUAGAAACUCUAAGGACUUGGCGGUGCCCCACACCGACCUAGAGGAGCCUGUCCUAUAAUCGAUAAUCCACGCUAUACCUCACCACCCCUUGCAAUUCAACCUAUAUACCGCCGUCGUCAGCCUACCUUAUGAAAGAAACAAAGUAGGCAAAAUAGUUAACAACUAAAACGUCAGGUCAAGGUGUAGUACAUGGGAUGGCAGAGAUGGGCUACACUUUCUACCACAGAAUACACGAACAGCACAAUGAAAUACAUGCUUGAAGGCGGAUUUAGCAGUAAGAUAAACAAGAAAAUCUAUCUGAAACCCGCUCUGGGGUGCGCACACACCGCCCGUCACCCUC
This 850-nucleotide non-coding RNA is filed under the name Trachylepis madagascariensis (Malagasy mabuya). RNAcentral describes it as "partial 12S ribosomal RNA". It matches the Rfam family "Bacterial small subunit ribosomal RNA". The record is from RNAcentral. Lineage: Eukaryota; Metazoa; Chordata; Lepidosauria; Squamata; Scincidae.